CCUACGGGUGGCAGCAGUGAGGAAUAUUGGUCAAUGGGCGCGAGCCUGAACCAGCCAAGUAGCGUGAAGGAUGACUGCCCUACGGGUUGUAACCUUCUUUUAUGAAGGAAUAAAGUGAGGCACGUGUGCCUUUUUGUAUGUACUUUAUGAAUAAGGAUCGGCUAACUCCGUGCCAGCAGCCGCGGUAAUACGGAGGAUCCGAGAGUUAUCCGGAUUUAUUGGGUUUAAAGGGAACGGAGAUGGGUUGUUAAGUCAGUUGUGAAAGUUUGCGGCUCAACCGUAAAAUUGCAAUUGAUACUGGCAGCCUUGAGUACAGUUGAGGUAGGCGGAAUUCGUGGUGUAGCGGUGAAAUGCUUAGAUAGCACGAAGAACUCCGAUUGCGAAGGCAGCUUACUAAACUGCAACUGACAUUGAUGCUCGAAAGUGUGGGUAGCAAACAGGAUUAGAGACCCCUGUAGUC
This 460-nucleotide ribosomal RNA is filed under the name uncultured bacterium. RNAcentral describes it as "partial 16S ribosomal RNA". It matches the Rfam family "Bacterial small subunit ribosomal RNA", at positions 338 to 795 of the family's 1533-position model. The record is from RNAcentral.